GAUUUCUUAUAUGGGUUGCUACGUGACUUGGCUCGUCCGAAUCAGGUGUACGCGAGGGCGAGGUAAACAACCAAACCAACCCUCUGCCUCCUCCCCUGCUCUCGCCGUCGCCCGCAGAACCCCACCCAAGCCCUCGCUCGCUCGCCGGGAUCCAAAGCGGCCGCGGCGGCCGGGAGCAGACGCGCGCGGGAGGAGUAGUUCGGGUCCGCGCCGCCGCCCUUUGCCUCGGCCACCACCGCCGUCCGCGCCGCCGCCCUUUGCCGUCGCCACCACCGCCGUCCCCGCCGCGGCCACCACCACCGUCCAAACUGCUCUCGGCCGUUGCCGGGGAUCCCGGACGCGCAGCAAAUCCGUCGCAAAGGAUCUCAAGGCCUGCCGCCCUGCCCGGCGCACCGAUCCAGAGGCACAUGUUCUCCACAGAUCCAUUGGAUCCCUUGCCGCCUCUCCUCCUCCUUUUUCAUCGCGGCUUGCCCUGGAUGCUAGAUUCUGCAAUUCCUCACCUGCAGUAUGGAAGUGCAUCUUCACCUGGGGCGCUAGCUGCUGAUGGCCACAGAUAACAGCGACGUGUACGAGGGCUACGUAGUGGUUGCAAUCUUGUAUUGGCAAGUGAACAAUUUAGUGUUCAUUGGCAACAAAAAGAAGUGAAUAAUAUCAUGCCAUAAUUUUGUGUUGCUUCCCAGGCCUGGGUAGAUGAUGUAUUGUACUUCCUCUGUUCCUAAAUAUAAGUCUUUUUAGAGAUUUCGAAUGGACUACCAUGUACGGAUGUAUAUAGACAUUUUAGAGCAUAGAUUCAUUCAUUUUGCUCCGUAUGUAGUCACUUGUUGAAAUCUCUAGAAAGACCUAUAUUUAGGAACAGAGGGACUACUUCUGCAUGGAAAUCUACAAAUUGAUUAUCUGCAUACUAUUUGAUUGUACUUCUCCAAGAUCUCAGCAUAUACCAUCUUAGUAACUUCUGAAACUUCCUGGUGGGACAUAAGUUCAGGAGUAUAAUUUAUCAUUGUACAAGCGCGUACUGAACCUUAAUAACAAUGGGAUUCUGUUAUUUCUUUUUCAAUUUACUUGCACUCGUAAAAAAUAUGGUGUAUAGAGCAGCACUGUUCGGUCUGCGCGGUCAUAUUAUUCUGAGUUUCAAGGAACAAAAAUGAUGUAUAUUUGGAGACGUAGGGGUUGAGGAACCUAAUGUUCUUGAAAAUUUUAAAUAUUGAAAUGGUUGUUUUGAUGCAGCGGAAGGCUUUUUCCUAAAGGGAUUGAGAUUACCAGGAUUCAGAUUGGAUCCCUGCUGUGUCAGUGCAGGAGAACUGCUCGAACACGUAGGCAUGACAUGACCGAUGCUGAUUACGCCCGAACUGCCCUCCUUUGACAUAAAAGAUUCCCGAGCCCCUCGACUGAAAUCCCGACUAAACUGCAAGUUUCCCUUCUUGAAAUUACUGCGUCUGAAGCUUCCAAUCUCGCCAACUUCGCCGGAGAACCGUGCGCCCGUGCUCGAGCAGAGGUACCAAUUUUCAGUACUGUUUUUAGGGGCUUCUACGUGAAUCCCAUGCAUGGCUUUGUGGCAUGCAAGACUUUCCUGCUAGACAAGCAAGAAAACAGAGCCAUCACGCUUGCCCUACUGUAGCAGCCUUCAAAGCACCACAUAACGUGGGCUCUCUCAAUGUCAGUUCAUUAGCUGAGCUGAUUUCACAUGCUAACAUCAUGUAAUCUUUUUUCUACAUUGCACAUUUAUCAGUUGGAUUACAUCGUAGACUGCAGUUCAGAUCAUUAUCAUGUAUGUUGCUCCUUUGAAAGUUAGACUUCAUAAAGAAGCAAUUUGAUCCGACCACAAUACCUCUGAAUAGAUGCCUCAUAGAUUUGUGGGUUCACCAUCUUGGAAGGUGCAAUUCUGGUGAUGGUGUCAUAAUUGAUAAAUAUGUACAUUGCUUCAUAUGUUGGAUAGUUUUGGCGGCCUUCUGUGUGAGGUAGACUUGACUGAUGAGGGCUUGAAAAGGGGCCUUGGUUGUCUGUCAACUGAAAACUCUGUUUGUGCACAACCUAUAUCCUCUAUGAGAAGGAACUGGAUGGAGCAAGGUCUACAUGCCUCAAAUUGCUUAAAGAUAUGCUAAGCACACUUGAUUUACCCAGUGGAGUAAACAAAAAUUGGGUCCAGAACUACUGCAUGCGUAAUGCAACACUUCUGUACUACCUCAAUGCGGGAGUGUGAAUUGUUGAUCCCACUAAGUCUGCAUUUGUUAAAACAUGGUGUUUUGGUAGGAGAUGACUGUCAACUCAUGCAAUGGUUAGAGCAAAGUAAGGUAUUGCCUCACCCUCUUUAUACUGUCUGAUUUCACUUACUCAUUGGUGCAUUUACUAAAAGAUAAACCUCUGAUACUAAAAUGCUAUUUUUUUUCUUGAGAAAAAUUGUAAUGGCCAUAUCUUUCCUUUAUGUUCCAUUGUUAUUUAUCUGUUUUUGAUAAUCUUAAUUCUUACUUUUCAUUGUUUAUCUCUAGGUAUGCAAAGAAGUUGGAUUUGCGACAAGUUUAUUUGGGAGAUUGGUUAUGCUCCAAUUUAAUAUACAUUUGCUGAACAUACAGUAUCACAUGAAUCCUUCUUCAGGUUAUUUCCAAAUGUCCAGUUUUAUGAGAGGAAGAUUAGCAUGGCGGCCAAGUUGAAGGUGCACUUCCACGCCGGCGGCCCGAGCUCGACGGCAAUCCGACGCAGGCAGCGUCCACCAACAGCUCCUCCUCCAAGGACGAGGUGGGCCACGCGCAAGAGACCUACGUGCAGAUUUGCUGUUUCAUGUCAUUUAUUUGCUUAUUUCCUGUUUGGUCUUAAUUCCAGUUUUUGUUUGUAAUAGUUGUUCAUGGGAUGAAAUUUCCAAAUCACGUUGGUUUGUUUGCAUACCCAAAUUGUAAUGAUUAUAUUUUAUUACUUUCCAUCGUGGAUAGAGAUGUAUUUGUCCUCA
This is a long non-coding RNA of Aegilops tauschii subsp. strangulata, 2938 nucleotides long. RefSeq lists it as uncharacterized. The record is from RefSeq and is a predicted model, not a curated record. Lineage: Eukaryota; Viridiplantae; Streptophyta; Magnoliopsida; Poales; Poaceae.